GUGAAAUUUGUAUAAAGAAAUAAAUUUUCUUAUUUAUAUUGGGAGGAAUUUAAAAGCAAAGAUUAAAAACCAGGAUUAGAUACCCUGUUAUUCUUUAGGAUUUUUUUAUGGGGUAGUAAAAGUCGUCCUUCAAACCCAAAGAUUUUGGCGGCAUUCUAACUAAAUAGAGGAGCUUGUCUCAUGAUCGAUAGUCCCCGUUAUAUCUUACCCAUACUAGUUUAGUUUGUAUACCUCCGUUGUCAGAUUACUCUAAAAGGAUGUUUUCAAUAAAAAUUAUUUUUUUACUUCAGGUCAAGGUGCAACUUAUGUAAGGGCGACGAUGAGCUACAAUUCUUUUAAGAAUUACGGAUAUUAAAGUUAAAACUUAGUUGAAGGUGGAUUUAUUAGUAAAUCGAUUUAAGGAAAAUCAGUUGAACUAGGCAAUAGCAUGUGUACAUAUCGCCCGUCACUCUCCUCUUAAAAGGAGAUAA
Molecule: ribosomal RNA, 470 nt
Filed under: Daphnia atkinsoni group sp. 3 Argentina
Lineage: Eukaryota; Metazoa; Arthropoda; Branchiopoda; Diplostraca; Daphniidae
Description: partial small subunit ribosomal RNA
Source: RNAcentral